RNAcentral lists this ribosomal RNA (686 nucleotides) under uncultured bacterium. Its description in RNAcentral is "bacterial SSU rRNA". It matches the Rfam family "Bacterial small subunit ribosomal RNA", at positions 111 to 823 of the family's 1533-position model. The record is from RNAcentral.
UAACACGUGAGUAACCUGCCCCCGAGAGCGGGAUANCCCUGGGGAACUGGGAUUAAUACCGCAUAGUAUCGAAAGAUUAAAGCAGCAAUGCGCUUGGGGAUGGGCUCGCGGCCUAUUAGUUAGUUGGUGAGGUAACGGCUCACCAAGGCGAUGACGGGUAGCCGGUCUGAGAGGAUGUCCGGCCACACUGGAACUGAGACACGGUCCAGACACCUACGGGUGGCAGCAGUCGAGAAUCAUUCACAAUGGGGGAAACCCUGAUGGUGCGACGCCGCGUGGGGGAAUGAAGGUCUUCGGAUUGUAAACCCCUGUCAUGUGGGAGCAAAUUAAAAAGAUAGUACCACAAGAGGAAGAGACGGCUAACUCUGUGCCAGCAGCCGCGGUAAUACAGAGGUCUCAAGCGUUGUUCGGAAUCACUGGGCGUAAAGCGUGCGUAGGCUGUUUCGUAAGUCGUGUGUGAAAGGCGCGGGCUCAACCCGCGGACGGCACAUGAUACUGCGAGACUAGAGUAAUGGAGGGGGAACCGGAAUUCUCGGUGUAGCAGUGAAAUGCGUAGAUAUCGAGAGGAACACUCGUGGCGAAGGCGGGUUCCUGGACAUUAACUGACGCUGAGGCACGAAGGCCAGGGGAGCGAAAGGGAUUAGAUACCCCUGUAGUCCUGGCAGUAAACGGUGCACGCUUGGUGU